AGAAACUUAGGAUAAUCUAAACCAAGGACCUUCAAAGUCCUAAACAGAAGUUAAUCCUUCUAGUUUCUG
Molecule: transfer RNA, 69 nt
Filed under: Pristimantis museosus
Lineage: Eukaryota; Metazoa; Chordata; Amphibia; Anura; Strabomantidae
Description: tRNA-Trp
Source: RNAcentral